AAAGAGAGAAACAGGAGCCGGAGCAGGGAGAGGUUGGGAAGAGGCCUGGACAGGCCCAGGCCUUGGAGGAGGCGGGUGAUCUUCCUGAAGAUCCCCAGAAAGUUCCAGAAGCAGAUGGUCAGCCAGCUGUCCAGCCUGCAAAGGAGGACCUGGGGCCAGGAGACAGGGGCCUGCAUCCUCGGCCCCAGGCAGUGCUGUCUGAGCAGCAGAACGGCCUGGCGGUGGGUGGAGGGGAAAAGGCCGAGGGGGGACCGCCGCCAGGCAACGCCGCCGGGGACACAGGGCAGCCCGCAGAGGACAGCGACCACGGUGGGUGUCAGCCUGGGCUGGUGUCGGAAGACACUCCCCUCUUGGGCUGGGGAGGCUGGGCAGGGGCAGCAGAAUCGAUGGUUGCUCCCUCAGUCCCCAGUCUCUCUCCCUGCACCAGAUUAGCAUGCAAAUGGAGCGGGCCCCGGCAGCUGGUGGGGACAGGAAGAGGCUGGUGGCUGACAGCUACUGUAAUAUCUGUCACACAGUUGUUUGCCAGACCACUAAAUGUCAGGUGCCGCGCUGUGCUCGUGUGUCUGGGCGCACACGGGGGGCGGCGCGGGGGGCGCCUGACAGGUAACACGUUGUUAAGUGCCCGUCUAAGAGCUGCUUAGGAUGGUUCUUGCAUUUUAAUUGCGAAGGCAGUUACCAUUGGCUCAUUGCCACAAGCCUAUGAGGUUGUUAAAUAUUUUUUUAUUGCUUCGCUAGUAAUCAUCAGGUUGAAUAUAAACUGUGCUGACGGGGGUGUCACUUUAGAAACAUCUGCCACUUCCUUUUGUCCCACCCUUGCCUUCUGUCCCCCAAACCCUCCCUUGACUUUCCUACAAAACCUUCUGAGUCUUCACCGUGUGUGCAGGUGGGAAGCCUCCCCUCCCAGCGGAGAAGCCGGCUCCAGGGGCUGGGCUGCCGCCCGAGCCUCGCGAGCAGAGGGACGUGGAGCGAGCAGGUGGAAACCAGGCGGCCAGCCAGCUGGAGGGUAAGGCCUCCGCCCUACAGCCGCCUGCCUCAGGCCCAGGGAGCGGCAGCCCCUUCCCCCAGCCCUGGGGUGAUGCCCAGGUCAUCCUAGGGAGCCCUGCCAGGCCGCCCUUCUCUUUCCAGCCGCCUGCUGAGCAGACCCCUCGGAGAGCUUUCUGCUCCCUUCCCAUCAGCAGCUUGCUUUCUGGGAACCUUUUAUCUCUCUUACUCCCCGUUAAACACCUGCGGCAGCGUCACAUGGCUUGUGAUUACCGUUUUAUCUCCCUUACUCCCCUUUAAAACACCUGCGGCAUUGUCACUUGGCUUGUGAUUACCAUUCCGUCUUUAAAGCAGGUUUGUUAACAGUUUUAACACUCGGAGUAUUUAAAGCCAGCCAGGUGUGGGCGUGCCUGCACCCAGAUGUGGAGGUUUAUUUUAAGGCUGUGCCCCAAGGGGACCCGGUUUGGGGGUGGCUGUGCCCGCCCUGGUCCUAGCAGAGCCCUGGCCCAGAGCACUGCUCCCACACCCUCGGGCCUCGGAGCUCGGCUGUGUUCAUCUACAGGGAUCUGUCACCUGUCCCUCCAGGAAAGCUCCUUGUGCCUUUGCUCUCCUGAGAAUAAAACUUGCUCUGAAUCCUC
This 1619-nucleotide small RNA is filed under the name Pan troglodytes (chimpanzee). Its description in RNAcentral is "retained intron". Lineage: Eukaryota; Metazoa; Chordata; Mammalia; Primates; Hominidae. The record is from RNAcentral.